CGUUAAAUGAAUGCCUAAACAUUAAAAUUUAAAUACGGACGUUUUAUUAACGAAAUGUUAUAGUGAGUAUUAUUAAAAUGCUGAGAUCUAUAAUUAUCCGUGUCAGAAAACUGAGCUUUGUAAGUUAAGUUUUUUAUAUCAAUUUUAAAUUGGUUAUAAAAAUCAAAAAUUUAGUGAACUGAAUCAUCUAAGUAACUAAAUAAAAAAAUCAACCGAGAUGCUGUAAGUAGUGGCGAGCGAAAGCAGUAAAGACUAUAAAAAUAAUUUGAACUAUUUAUUGAAUCAUAAUGAGCCAUAGAAGGUUAUAAACAAACUUUAAAAGUAUGUAUAAAUUAGCCCUGUAAUUGUUUAAAGUUUAAAAUUAUUUUUGUUUAAGUAAAUUGAUGCAAGUCGCGCAUUGAUUAAAUAAUGGGGGCCCACCCUCAAGUCUAAAAAGUUUUAAUGAUUGAUAGCGUAUAGUACCGUGAGGGAAAGGUGAAAUAGAAUUUAUUAAUUUAAAUCUUAAAAAUACUGAAAUUUAAUGUUGACAAGCAAUUGAAGCUUUUAAAAAGUAACAAUGUACCUUUUGCAUAAUGGAUCAACGAGUUUAUUUUAGUGGCGAGCUUAAACAGUGAAUUAAUGUGUAGGCGAAAAGAAAUUAAGUUUUAAAAGGCUUUUAAGUCUCUAAAAUAAGACCCGAAACUAAAUGAUCUAACCAUGAUCAGGCUGAAUUUAUAGCGGUAACGCUUAUUGGAGGGCUGAACCCUUACAUGUGGAAAAAUGUUGGGAUGAAUUGUGGUUAGGGGUGAAAGGCCAAUCAAAUUUAGAGAUAGCUGGUUUUCUGCGAAAUCUAUUUAAGUAGAGCGUUUAAAAACUUUAUUUUGGGGUAGAGCACUCGAUAAAUGAUGGGAGCGUAAAGUUUUACUGAAUUUAAUGAAACUACGAAUACAAAGUAAAAGAUAUUAAACAGACAGACUUUGAGUGCUAAGAUUCAUAGUCAAGAGGGAAACAGCCCAGAUUAUUCGUUAAGGUCCUUAAAAAUAAUUAAGUGAAAAAAUUGUAAAAAAUUAAAGACAAUCGGUAGGUAGGCUUGGAAGCAGCCAUCCUUUAAAGAAAGCGUAACAGCUCACUGAUUUAAAUUUUUUGCAAUGAAAAUGUAUAGGGGCUCAAAUUAUUUACCGAAACGAUAAAUUUAACAAAUAAGUUAAAUGGUAGCAGAACGUUCUGUAAAUCUAAAAAGAUUUAUGGUGACAUAAAUUGAAGAAAUCAGAAUUGAAAAUGUUGAUAUGAGUAGCGAUAAACAAUGUGAAAAACAUUGUCGCCUUAAGUUCAAGGUUUCCAAAGCAAGGCUAAUCCUCUUUGGGUAAAUCGGUCCCUAAAAAUAAAACGAAAGUUUUAAAAUUUGAUGGGUAAAUAAAUCUUUUUUAUAUUCAUUUGCAAGUGACGUGGCAUAAAAAUUAUUUUUAUUAUUUGGUUUUUAAUAAAAGUUUUUGAGUGUUUCCAAGAAAAAGCUUGCAUAAAUUUUUAAAGAACCGUACUCUAAACCGACACAGGUGAACAAGUUGAGUAAAUUAAGGCGCUUGAGUUAAUUAUGUUGAAGGAACUCGGCAAAAUGACUCCGUAACUUCGGGAGAAGGAGUAGCU
This 1623-nucleotide ribosomal RNA is filed under the name Chaetoceros curvisetus. Its description in RNAcentral is "partial Bacterial large subunit ribosomal RNA". It matches the Rfam family "Bacterial large subunit ribosomal RNA", at positions 18 to 1753 of the family's 2925-position model. The record is from RNAcentral. Lineage: Eukaryota; Bacillariophyta; Thalassiosirophyceae; Chaetocerotales; Chaetocerotaceae.